This 476-nucleotide ribosomal RNA is filed under the name Prevotella pallens. RNAcentral's name for it is "bacterial SSU rRNA". It matches the Rfam family "Bacterial small subunit ribosomal RNA", at positions 28 to 491 of the family's 1533-position model. The record is from RNAcentral. Lineage: Bacteria; Pseudomonadati; Bacteroidota; Bacteroidia; Bacteroidales; Prevotellaceae.
GAUGAACGCUAGCUAUAGGCUUAACACAUGCAAGUCGAGGGGAAACGGCAUUAUGUGCUUGCACAUUUUGGACGUCGACCGGCGCACGGGUGAGUAUCGCGUAUCCAACCUGCCCUUUACUUGGGGAUACCCCGUUGAAAGACGGCCUAAUACCCGAUGUAAUUCAUUGAUGGCAUCAGAUAUGAAUAAAAGAUUUAUCGGUAAAGGAUGGGGAUGCGUCUGAUUAGCUUGUUGGUGAGGUAAUGGCUCACCAAGGCAACGAUCAGUAGGGGUUCUGAGAGGAAGGUCCCCCACAUUGGAACUGAGACACGGUCCAAACUCCUACGGGAGGCAGCAGUGAGGAAUAUUGGUCAAUGGACGGAAGUCUGAACCAGCCAAGUAGCGUGCAGGAAGACGGCCCUAUGGGUUGUAAACUGCUUUUAUACGAGAAUAAUUUGAUGCACGUGUGCGUUAUUGCAUGUAUCGUAUGAAUAAGG